UACGUAGGGACCAAGCGUUGUUCGGAUUUACUGGGCGUAAAGGGCGCGUAGGCGGCUUAACAAGUCACUUGUGAAAUCUCCGGGCUUAACUCGGAACGGCCAAGUGAAACUGUCAAGCUAGAGUGCAGAAGGGGCAAUCGGAAUUCUUGGUGUAGCGGUGAAAUGCGUAGAUAUCAAGAGGAACACCGAUGGCGAAGGCAGGUCUCUGGGCAUUAACUGACGCUGAGGAGCGAAAGCAUGGGGAGCGAACAGG
RNAcentral lists this ribosomal RNA (253 nucleotides) under uncultured bacterium. RNAcentral describes it as "partial 16S ribosomal RNA". It matches the Rfam family "Bacterial small subunit ribosomal RNA", at positions 524 to 776 of the family's 1533-position model. The record is from RNAcentral.